RNAcentral lists this ribosomal RNA (277 nucleotides) under uncultured bacterium. Its description in RNAcentral is "partial 16S ribosomal RNA". It matches the Rfam family "Bacterial small subunit ribosomal RNA", at positions 28 to 321 of the family's 1533-position model. The record is from RNAcentral.
GAUAAACGCUGGCGGCGUGCCUAACACAUGCAAGUCGAACGCUCUGCGUAAGCAGGGAGUGGCGGACGGGUGAGUAACACAUGGGAAUCGACCCACACGUGAGGAAUACCACCGGGAAACCGGUGACAAUACCGCAUACGCUUCCUCGGAAGCAAAGCUCUUUUCGGAGGGCGCGGGUGGACGAGCCUGUGUCUGAUUAGCUAGCUGGUGGGGUAAGAGCCUACCAGGGCGACGAUCAGUCGCUGGUCUGAGAGGAUGAUCAGCCACACUGGGAUUG